UAGGGAAUCUUCGGCAAUGGACGAAAGUCUGACCGAGCAACGCCGCGUGAGUGAAGAAGGUUUUCGGAUCGUAAAACUCUGUUGUUAGAGAAGAACAAGGACGUUAGUAACUGAACGUCCCCUGACGGUAUCUAACCAGAAAGCCACGGCUAACUACGUGCCAGCAGCCGCGGUAAUACGUAGGUGGCAAGCGUUGUCCGGAUUUAUUGGGCGUAAAGCGAGCGCAGGCGGUUUCUUAAGUCUGAUGUGAAAGCCCCCGGCUCAACCGGGGAGGGUCAUUGGAAAAUGGGGGACUGGAGUGCAGAAGAGGAGAGUGGAAUUCCAUGUGUAGCGGUGUAAUGCGUAGAUAUAUGGAGGAACACCAGUGGCGAAGGCGGCUCUCUGGUCUGUAACUGACGCUGAGGCUCGAAAGCGUGGGGAGCAAACAGG
This 429-nucleotide ribosomal RNA is filed under the name Gemmatimonadota bacterium. Its description in RNAcentral is "Gemmatimonadetes bacterium partial 16S ribosomal RNA". It matches the Rfam family "Bacterial small subunit ribosomal RNA", at positions 355 to 776 of the family's 1533-position model. The record is from RNAcentral. Lineage: Bacteria; Pseudomonadati; Gemmatimonadota.